AUUGAACGCUGGCGGCAUGCCUUACACAUGCAAGUCGAACGGCAGCACGGGUGCUUGCACCUGGUGGCGAGUGGCGAACGGGUGAGUAAUACAUCGGAACAUGUCCUGUAGUGGGGGAUAGCCCGGCGAAAGCCGGAUUAAUACCGCAUACGAUCUACGGAUGAAAGCGGGGGACCUUGGGGCCUCGCGCUAUAGGGUUGGCCGAUGGCUGAUUAGCUAGUUGGUGGGGUAAAGGCCUACCAAGGCGACGAUCAGUAGCUGGUCUGAGAGGACGACCAGCCACACUGGGACUGAGACACGGACCAGGCUCCUACGGGAGGCAGCAGUGGGGAAUUUUGGACAAUGGUCGAAAGCCUGAUCCAACGAUGCCACGUGUGUGAAGAAGGCCUUCGGGUUGUAAAGCACUUUUGUCCGGAAAGAAAUCCUUGGCCCUAAUACGGUCGGGGGAUGACGGUACCGGAAGAAUAAGCACCGGCUAACUACGUG
Molecule: ribosomal RNA, 486 nt
Filed under: uncultured bacterium
Lineage: Bacteria
Description: partial 16S ribosomal RNA
Rfam family: Bacterial small subunit ribosomal RNA
Source: RNAcentral